This 492-nucleotide ribosomal RNA is filed under the name uncultured bacterium. RNAcentral's name for it is "partial 16S ribosomal RNA". It matches the Rfam family "Bacterial small subunit ribosomal RNA", at positions 29 to 507 of the family's 1533-position model. The record is from RNAcentral.
AGUGAACGCUGGCGGUAGGCCUAACACAUGCAAGUCGAACGGCAGCACAGUAAGAGCUUGCUCUUACGGGUGGCGAGUGGCGGAUGGGUGAGGAAUACAUCGGAAUCUACUUUUUCGUGGGGGAGAACGUAGGGAAACAUACGCUAAUACCGCAUACGACUUACGGGUGAAAGCAGGGGAUCUUUGGACCUUGCGUGAUUGAAUGAGCUGAUGUCGGAUUAGCUAGUUGGCGGCGUAUAGGCCCACCAAGGCGACGAUCCGUAGCUGGUCUGAGAGGAUGAUCAGCCACACUGGAACUGAGACACGGUCCAGGCUCCUACGGGAGGCAGCGAUGGGGAAUAUUGGACAAUGGGCGCAAGCCUGAUCCAGCCAUACCGCGUGGAUGAAGAAGGCCUUCGUGUUGUAAAGCCCUUUUGUUGGGAAAGAAAAGCAGCAGUUUAAUACCCCGCUGUUCUGACGGUACCCAAAUAAUAAGCACCGGCUAACUUCGUG